This is a non-coding RNA of Acanthosepion pharaonis, 109 nucleotides long. Lineage: Eukaryota; Metazoa; Mollusca; Cephalopoda; Sepiida; Sepiidae. The record is from the annotation of a GenBank genome assembly.
GCCAUAUCACGUUGAAACACUAGUUCUCAUCUGAUCAAUGAAGUUAAGCAAUGUUGAGCCUAGUCAAUACUUAUGUGGGUGACCUCUUGGGAAUACCAGGUACUGUAAG